GACGAACGCUGGCGGCGUGCCUAAUACAUGCAAGUCGAACGCUGAAGAGAGGGGCUUGCUCUUCUUGGAUGAGUUGCAAACGGGUGAGUAACGCGUAGGUAACCUGCCUUGUAGCGGGGGAUAACUAUUGGAACCGAUAGCUAAUACCGCAUAACAAUGGAUGAAACAUGUCAUUUAUUUGAAAGGGGCAAUUGCUCCACUCCAAGAUGGACUUGCGUUGUAUUAGCUAGUAGGUGAGGUAAUGGCUCACCUAGGCGACGAUACAUAGCCGACCUGGGAGGGUGAUCGGCCACACUGGGACUGAGACACGGCCCAGACUCCUACGGGAGGCAGCAGUAGGGAAUCUUCGGCAAUGGGGGCAACCCUGACCGAGCAACGCCGCGUGAGUGAAGGAGGUUUUCGGAUCGUAAAGCUCUGUUGUAAGUGAAGAACGGGUGUGAGAGUGGAAAGUUCACACUGUGACGGUAGCUUAACAGAAAGGGACGGCUAACUACGUG
RNAcentral lists this ribosomal RNA (497 nucleotides) under uncultured bacterium. RNAcentral's name for it is "partial 16S ribosomal RNA". It matches the Rfam family "Bacterial small subunit ribosomal RNA", at positions 28 to 507 of the family's 1533-position model. The record is from RNAcentral.